CAUCAACCCUGGCAGACAAGUGCCUCGCCUGGCAGGGUCAGCCAUGUUUACGGGGGUGUCAACCAGAGAUGGUCGUUGUUUGGGGUCUUCAAACGAUGCCAGACCGCGAGGCCGGCGGGGCAGAUGUUCAGGAGAGCUCAGGAAGAAGAGGAUUCACUGAGGUGUGUGUGCUGCUAAACUUCAGGAAACCCUCCUGAGGUGGAUUUCAUCUUUUCUCCCAGGAAAAUAGGCAGGAUGUAAACCGUUUUACAGGAGGGAAGGAUGACGAAUGAAGAGCGAGGGAGGAGG
This is a long non-coding RNA of Osmerus eperlanus (European smelt), 288 nucleotides long. RefSeq lists it as uncharacterized. The record is from RefSeq and is a predicted model, not a curated record. NCBI's taxonomy places the organism in Eukaryota, Metazoa, Chordata, Actinopteri, Osmeriformes, Osmeridae. The transcript has 3 exons.